Molecule: ribosomal RNA, 497 nt
Filed under: uncultured bacterium
Lineage: Bacteria
Description: partial 16S ribosomal RNA
Rfam family: Bacterial small subunit ribosomal RNA
Source: RNAcentral
GAUGAACGCUGGCGGCGUGCCUAAUACAUGCAAGUCGAGCGAACGGACGAGAAGCUUGCUUCUCUGAUGUUAGCGGCGGACGGGUGAGUAACACGUGGAUAACCUACCUAUAAGACUGGGAUAACUUCGGGAAACCGGAGCUAAUACCGGAUAAUAUUUCGAACCGCAUGGUUCACAAGUGAAAGACGGUCUUGCUGUCACUUAUAGAUGGAUCCGCGCUGCAUUAGCUAGUUGGUAAGGUAACGGCUUACCAAGGCAACGAUGCAUAGCCGACCUGAGAGGGUGAUCGGCCACACUGGAACUGAGACACGGUCCAGACUCCUACGGGAGGCAGCAGUAGGGAAUCUUCCGCAAUGGGCGAAAGCCUGACGGAGCAACGCCGCGUGAGUGAUGAAGGUCUUCGGAUCGUAAAACUCUGUUAUUAGGGAAGAACAUAUGUGUAAGUAACUGUGCACAUCUUGACGGUACCUAAUCAGAAAGCCACGGCUAACUUCGUG